Molecule: unclassified non-coding RNA, 353 nt
Filed under: soil metagenome
Description: partial contains 5.8S ribosomal RNA, internal transcribed spacer 2, and large subunit ribosomal RNA
Rfam family: 5.8S ribosomal RNA (bases 1-119)
Source: RNAcentral
GAUGAAGAACGCAGCGAAAUGCGAUACGUAAUGUGAAUUGCAAAUUCAGUGAAUCAUCGAGUCUUUGAACGCACAUUGCGCCCCCUGGCAUUCCGGGGGGCAUGCCUGUCCGAGCGUCAUUUCUGCCCUCCAGCCCGGCUGGGUGUUGGGCGCUGUCCCCCCGGGGACACGCCCCAAAGGCAGUGGCGGCGCCGCGUCGGGUCCUCGAGCGUAUGGGGCUUUGUCACCCGCUCGGGACGGACUCGUCGGCGCUGGUCUUCCUCCAGGCGACCCUUCGGGGCUCGUCUUCCUUCGGUUGACCUCGGAUCAGGUAGGGUUACCCGCUGAACUUAAGCAUAUCAAUAAGCGGAGGA